CUGAUAGUUUUCAACACUGAGUCACUGUUGCUAUGUGGAACGGUUCGCUGCUUUCCCCCGACUCCAACAUCUGUCACCUUUUCGGUUCAGUAGCUAUGGGCUUGGCCGCCUCUUCAGGCUAGGAAAGCCAGAAGGCAUCUCGAUCUGUGACCAUCAUGGCUUUUUGCCUCUCUGUGGUGCUAUGGAAGAAAGGGGGAUGUAUCCUCCUUACACAGCGAUUUUCACCACAAUAAAACCCCAAGCAGGAAGGAGGUAAAAUGAUCGGCCUGGGACUGAGUUAACAGCUUGCUUCCUGCUCCCCUCAGAAAACACUGGGGCUGCACGGUCUGUCACCUCGCCGCCUGACUUUCUGUGCAUGGUUUGCAUGUCAGAGCACUCCUGCGGGUCACCCAGGUAGCAGAUUCUCAGCGGAGUCCAGUAGACAACAUCCCGACUUCCUAAGCAUCCUUUCCCAUGGUCACAUCUGCUUAUAGCAAGCUGGAGUGCCUCUCUGGCGUAGCUGGGGAAGUGUCCGACACUGCAGCUAGUUCACCAUUUCUAUUGCCUUGUCUUGAAGACUCUGAUCAACCUGUCAGUUAAACUCCAGAGAGUGCUGGCAAGUGUGGCCCGGGGACAGUAUUGGAACAAAGCCAGAGUCUUGGGACCCAGUCCUUUCCCGCCUGCCUCCAAAAGAAAAGACUCAUUGAAGCCAGCAAUACUUACCUCUGUGUAACACCCACGUUGAUGGGAACCACUGAGAGAUAGAGCAACUUGCCAAAAAAAUAAAAAUAAAAAGAUUAGAGAUCUGUGGUAGCUGAAGAAGUCCCCAAGUUCGAGGCAGUAAUCAAUGUUGCAGUUAAAAAGUUCUUCCUCAAAGAGCAAGUCAUAGAUAUGUAAACAUGUGCCCAACGAGAAUAUAUUGGAACGGAAAUCUUUCCUAUAAAGCCCUCACACAUUGCUUCAGUCUAUUAUUAGUGUUUUUUCCCCCAAUGCCAAAAAUAAAUCAAAUUAUUUUCUUUGGCCGUUGAAUUGUUGCAAAAUUGUAAAGCAAAUAUUCUAAUUUGAUCACUUACAAACUCAUAAAAUUAAAUGGUUGUUUGUAGUGGGAAAUAUGUCCUUAUUAUUUUAAUUAAAGCAAGAUUGGACGCUACAUCCAUCCAUCUAGGAACCACCAAAUUCAUUGCCUCUCUUACAAAUCAACUUUUAAAUGGGGUCAUGCCUUUCCACGACAUUAGUUUGUGUUCCACUGCAUAAAUCCCGACUACACGUGAGCUUGACCUUUGGUGAAAAUUAUGUACUCAAGCUCAGCAUAAGUGCUUACUCGAUUUGCUAGAAUUUUAGAAAAGACCUUUAAAGUCCACACAGGAUUUUGAAUACAAAAGAAUCUUUUUACAUCUUUCUACAGCUUAUACUAGCUGCUUUUGAUUGAGGUGCAUUUCUGGCUUUAGCGAUCACCACAUUGAUCUUCUCCUAAAUCAUAUGACACUCAUAAUUAGUCGUUUAUAUGGAGUGCCUUUAAAGUGUAGCAUCUGCUCUAUUAACAAGAUUUGGUAAGGAGUUUGCUAAAGGUUUAAACUCUAUUGAUGACAAGGAUUUACAAAUUUGAAUUGACAAAAUUUUUUCAGCAAUAUAGUUUUAUAGAGUUAACCAAAAAGUCCUCCACAUAAAGGAACUUCAGUUUUUCAAGGCACAGUUUACAAUCUAUCUCAUGGGCACAAUAGUAACUUGCCAGACAUAGGAUAAAAUUUUUUUUCACAGAAUUAAGAUUUUAACUAUGUUCACUCCUGUUGCUUCAAGGGGAAAAAAAUCUUAAGGCUUAUAUUAAUAAACUUACUAAAAAUUUUUUAUUUUGCCUCUCCCCUUCUUCCCAUAUACUUAUUCCUAUAGUCUUUUACUAGAAAUGUUUGAAAAAAAAAUUAUAUAUUACUACAAGCCUAGAAUUUUAUUCUAUUAACUACUAUUAACUAUUUUAACUUACUUUAAUUUCCCUAUAAAUAUUAUUUUAAAAAACAGAAACAAAAUAUGUAAAGUUAGUGGGAAAAGAUAAAAAAAAGUUUAGGAAACAAAAAUCAACAAAAUAAACCAAUAAAACCUGGAAAAUGUACCAGUGAUUCAAAAUUUGGAAAAAGUUGCUGUUAAAUGGACACUUUUGGAUACUAAUUGCUUCUUAUAUCAAAUGCCUAAAAUGUUUUAUUAAAGGAAUUCCUGUUGUACAAGUUUUUUUUUUAAUUUUGUUGAUAAAAAUUUGAAGACUCAAGUAGUCUGUGUGUGUGUGUGUGUGUGUGUGUGUGUGUGUGUGUGUUUCUUAACUUCUCAAACAUAAGAGUUCAUCUGGUAGUGGGGAAACAAUCUCUGUUUGUUCCUCUCUGCUCAGGAGGACUGUUUCUAAUUGAUCUGGCAUGGAAUUUAGUUGGAGAUGUGUAUGUUGCAACCUAAGCACAGUCUCUGUAUGCUUUGUAAAGUGAUAACCAUAUGGGCCUUAUUUGAAACAUUUGAGGAUUUUAGCUAUUUAACCUGGGUUAAAUUGAGCCAUAAAUUCAACUCCAAUGUAUAUGUCCUGACAAAUUUGUCAUUGUUUUGAAUAAGUUGCAUCCAUACUUCUUCUCUCAUAUUAAUAUAAAGAUGAUGGCUGCAUAUGGCAUAUGGAAUAACUUGAUAAAAGACUGGAAUCCACCACUUUGUACUUUUUAAAUGCAAAUUGUUCAUAUUACACAGGAAUUUUCAGUUGUUAUCACUUUCAAUAAAAUGAAAAUGCUUAAAAAUGACCUAGGUAAAGAAAAGACUAUGUUGUCAAACCUAUUUCCUCUUAUACUAUUUUCAAGUGCACUU
Molecule: long non-coding RNA, 2808 nt
Organism: Sarcophilus harrisii (Tasmanian devil)
Lineage: Eukaryota; Metazoa; Chordata; Mammalia; Dasyuromorphia; Dasyuridae
Exons: 3
Source: RefSeq, a predicted model, not a curated record